RNAcentral lists this ribosomal RNA (977 nucleotides) under Staphylococcus haemolyticus. RNAcentral describes it as "bacterial SSU rRNA". It matches the Rfam family "Bacterial small subunit ribosomal RNA", at positions 53 to 1013 of the family's 1533-position model. The record is from RNAcentral. Lineage: Bacteria; Bacillati; Bacillota; Bacilli; Caryophanales; Staphylococcaceae.
ACAUGCAAGUCGAGCGAACAGACAAGGUAGCUUGCUCCUUUGACGUUAGCGGCGGACGGGUGAGUAACACGUGGGUAACCUACCUAUAAGACUGGGAUAACUUCGGGAAACCGGAGCUAAUACCGGAUAAUAUUUCGAACCGCAUGGUUCGAUAGUGAAAGAUGGUUUUGCUAUCACUUAUAGAUGGACCCGCGCCGUAUUAGCUAGUUGGUAAGGUAACGGCUUACCAAGGCGACGAUACGUAGCCGACCUGAGAGGGUGAUCGGCCACACUGGAACUGAGACACGGUCCAGACUCCUACGGGAGGCAGCAGUAGGGAAUCUUCCGCAAUGGGCGAAAGCCUGACGGAGCAACGCCGCGUGAGUGAUGAAGGUCUUCGGAUCGUAAAACUCUGUUAUUAGGGAAGAACAUACGUGUAAGUAACUAUGCACGUCUUGACGGUACCUAAUCAGAAAGCCACGGCUAACUACGUGCCAGCAGCCGCGGUAAUACGUAGGUGGCAAGCGUUAUCCGGAAUUAUUGGGCGUAAAGCGCGCGUAGGCGGUUUUUUAAGUCUGAUGUGAAAGCCCACGGCUCAACCGUGGAGGGUCAUUGGAAACUGGAAAACUUGAGUGCAGAAGAGGAAAGUGGAAUUCCAUGUGUAGCGGUGAAAUGCGCAGAGAUAUGGAGGAACACCAGUGGCGAAGGCGACUUUCUGGUCUGUAACUGACGCUGAUGUGCGAAAGCGUGGGGAUCAAACAGGAUUAGAUACCCUGGUAGUCCACGCCGUAAACGAUGAGUGCUAAGUGUUAGGGGGUUUCCGCCCCUUAGUGCUGCAGCUAACGCAUUAAGCACUCCGCCUGGGGAGUACGACCGCAAGGUUGAAACUCAAGGAAUUGACGGGGACCCGCACAAGCGGUGGAGCAUGUGGUUUAAUUCGAAGCAACGCGAAGAACCUUACCAAUCUUGACAUCCUUUGACACUCUAGAGAUAGAGCU